UGAUGUCCCAGCUGUUUCAGUGCAGGGCAGGGGUGCAGUAGUGCUGCUACUCCUGCCUGCUUAAGGCAAUGCUGGCAGCGGCCUGGCCUCCCCAUAGUGCUGCUGCAGUGACUGAAGGUGAGGAAACAAAUAAUAGGUUAAAGGGGGGAGAAAAACCCCAAGCUGGAAACUUUUGAGCUGGACUUGUGCGUGGAGCCGCAGCCCCUUCGCCGCUAGAUGUCGCUGUGAGGCAGGAUUUCCAGGAGUUUUCAUUUUGUGCCAGCAUGGCCGAAUAUGUCGCCCACCCCUCUUCGGCCUGGCACUCAGGCAGGCAGCCCCCUCACACCUCUGCCCUCUGCCCUUUGGAGCUCAUGGAUCUGGGAGUUACUGAGCAGGCACCGCCGUUGGAGCAGCCUCCGCCAUCCCUGGAGCUGGGAGACGAGGAGGAUAUUGACUCGCCGCUGGACCCUGACGUGCCCUAUCCCGACUUGGCGCCUGUGGUGUUCUUUUGCUUGAAACAGACCACCAGCCCCCGCAACUGGUGCAUCAAAAUGAGCAGCUCACCUGUUGCAAUAUGUGAUCAAAAGGAGCUGCUUACCAAAGGGAGAAUUUCAGAGAAAGCGAGUGUCAGCCGGAAUGACACGGACAGGGGCAGGGAGAAGAGAGGGGACAGACUUUUCAAAUGUAUUCCCGCACCUUCCUGUUACUGAGUCAGUGACAGUGGGAUGGUUUGAAGGCGCAGGGAAAGGGGAAUUCCCAGCUCCUGCUGGCUUAUAACUAGGUCUUUAUUUCAAUGAGGGAUAUUUAUUCAUCUAACCGUACUGUACAUACCAUGAACUCAGCCUCUACUUGGAGAUAGAGCUGCUUCAUGCUGUUCAUGCUUCUCAGUUGGGGGGCCACCAGAAUGACCCUCAUCCUGCUAGCUAGUGAGCAUAAACUAGCUGCUGAGUAUCUUCUCCUGGGGAUAUCUCCUCUCUCGAUUCCACCAGGAUCAAAGAUGAGCCUACUCCAGAGAAUCCAUUGCAGGUUUGACUCUGGUGCAUCCUGGGACAGGACUUUGGGAGUUUAGUGAGUAUUGUGAGGAUACCUCUGUAAUGUAGAUAUGAUCUGCAAAUCUCAACAUCACACCCCUCACUACUGAAUCUCACAGCCUUGAUUUAAGGAGCGGAUAGUAACAGAACAAUAAGCAACAGGUAGUCUCAAUUAACUUCCCCAGGAAAUAACUUCCUCCAUUGUGGAGUGAUUGACCUUUCCCCCGACUUUCCAUAUGGGCACAGUAUGUAAAAGGGGGUUUAUUAGAUCUGGGGACCUUUGAAAGAUCCAGGAAUUUGAGGAGAUGAAACAGCAUACAAAAAGCUGAAGCUUUAUU
Long non-coding RNA from Mauremys mutica (yellowpond turtle), 1348 nucleotides. RefSeq lists it as uncharacterized. NCBI's taxonomy places the organism in Eukaryota, Metazoa, Chordata, Testudines, Geoemydidae. The record is from RefSeq and is a predicted model, not a curated record. The transcript is spliced from 4 exons.